GACAGAGGGUGCAAACGUUGUUCGGAAUUACUGGGCGUAAAGCGAGUGUAGGCGGUUUCCUAAGUCAGGUGUGAAAGCCCCGGGCUCAACCCGGGAAGUGCACUUGAAACUGGGAGGCUAGAGUAUCGGAGAGGUUGGUGGAAUUCUCGGUGUAGAGGUGAAAUUCGUAGAGAUGUGAAGGAACACCGGAGGCGAAGGCGCCUGCCUGGACGACUACUGACGCUGAGGCGCGAAAGCGUGGGGAGCAAACAGG
This 253-nucleotide ribosomal RNA is filed under the name uncultured bacterium. Its description in RNAcentral is "partial 16S ribosomal RNA". It matches the Rfam family "Bacterial small subunit ribosomal RNA", at positions 524 to 776 of the family's 1533-position model. The record is from RNAcentral.